RNAcentral lists this ribosomal RNA (492 nucleotides) under uncultured bacterium. RNAcentral's name for it is "partial 16S ribosomal RNA". It matches the Rfam family "Bacterial small subunit ribosomal RNA", at positions 29 to 507 of the family's 1533-position model. The record is from RNAcentral.
AGUGAACGCUGGCGGUAGGCCUAACACAUGCAAGUCGAACGGCAGCACAGUAAGAGCUUGCUCUUACGGGUGGCGAGUGGCGGACGGGUGAGGAAUACAUCGGAAUCUACUUUUUCGUGGGGGAUAACGUAGGGAAAAUUACGCUAAUACCGCAUACGACCUACGGGUGAAAGCAGGGGAUCUUCGGACCUUGCGCGAUUGAAUGAGCCGAUGUCGGAUUAGCUAGUUGGCGGGGUAAAGGCGCACCAAGGCGACGAUCCGUAGCUGGUCUGAGAGGAUGAUCAGCCACACUGGAACUGAGACACGGUCCAGACUCCUACGGGAGGCAGCAGUGGGGAAUAUUGGACAAUGGGCGCAAGCCUGAUCCAGCCAUACCGCGUGGGUGAAGAAGGCCUUCGGGUUGUAAAGCCCUUUUGUUGGGAAAGAAAAGCAGCAGGUUAAUACCCCGCUGUUCUGACGGUACCCAAAGAAUAAGCACCGGCUAACUUCGUG